UACGGGAGGCAGCAGUGGGGAAUUUUCCGCAAUGGGCGAAAGCCUGACGGAGCAAUACCGCGUGAGGGACGAAGGCCUGUGGGUUGUAAACCUCUUUUGUUAGGGAAGAUAAUGACGGUACCUAACGAAUAAGCAUCGGCUAACUCCGUGCCAGCAGCCGCGGUAAGACGGAGGAUGCAAGCGUUAUCCGGAAUUAUUGGGCGUAAAGCGUACGUAGGCUGUUUCAUAAGUCUGUUGUCAAAGCCCGAGGCUCAACCUUGGAUCGGCAAUGGAAACUGUGAGACUAGAGAGAGAUAGGGGCAGGAGGAAUUCCAGGUGUAGCGGUGAAAUGCGUAGAUAUCUGGAAGAACACCAGUGGCGAAAGCGUCCUGCUGGAUCUCAACUGACGCUGAAGUACGAAAGCUAGGGGAGCGAAUGGGAUUAGAUACCCCAGUAGUCCUAGCCGUAAACGAUGGGUACUAGGUGUUGGUCGUAUCGACCCGAUCAGUGCCGUAGCUAACGCGUUAAGUACCCCGCCUGGGGAG
This 524-nucleotide ribosomal RNA is filed under the name bacterium enrichment culture clone LiUU-12-73. RNAcentral describes it as "bacterial SSU rRNA". It matches the Rfam family "Bacterial small subunit ribosomal RNA", at positions 340 to 880 of the family's 1533-position model. The record is from RNAcentral.